Molecule: ribosomal RNA, 459 nt
Filed under: uncultured bacterium
Lineage: Bacteria
Description: partial 16S ribosomal RNA
Rfam family: Bacterial small subunit ribosomal RNA
Source: RNAcentral
CCUACGGGAGGCUGCAGUGAGGAAUAUUGGUCAAUGGGAGGAAUCCUGAACCAGCCAUGCCGCGUGCAGGACGACGGCUCUACGAGUUGUAAACUGCUUUUGUACCGGGGUAAAAUGCUCUACGAGUAGGGCUUUGAAAGUACGGUACGAAUAAGGAUCGGCUAACUCCGGGCCAGCAGCCGCGGUAAUACGGAGGAUCCGAGCGUUACCCGGAUUUAUUGGGUUUAAAGGGUGCGUAGGCGGGUUGUCAAGUCAGCGGUAAAAUCGUGGAGCUCAACUCCAUCCAGCCGUUGAAACUGAUGAUCUUGAGUGGGCGAGAAGUAUGCGGAAUGCGUGGUGUAGCGGUGAAAUGCAUAGAUAUCACGCAGAACUCCGAUUGCGAAGGCAGCAUACCGGCGCCCGACUGACGCUGAAGCACGAAAGCGUGGGUAUCGAACAGGAUUAGAUACCCUGGUAGUC